GAUGAAGAACGUAGCGAAAUGCGAUAAGUAAUGUGAAUUGCAGAAUUCAGUGAAUCAUCGAAUCUUUGAACGCACAUUGCGCCCGCCAGUAUUCUGGCGGGCAUGCCUGUUCGAGCGUCAUUUCAACCAUCAAGCCCCCGGCUUGUGUUGGGGACCUGCGGCUGCCACAGGCCCUGAAAACCAGUGGCGGGCUCGCUGUCACACCGAGCGUAGUAGAUUUUCAUCUCGCUCAGGGCGUGCUGCGGGUUCCGGCCGUAAAAAGCCUUAUUUACCCAAGGUUGACCUCGGAUCAGGUAGGAAGACCCGCUGAACUUAAGCAUAUCAAUAAGCGGAGGA
RNAcentral lists this unclassified non-coding RNA (336 nucleotides) under soil metagenome. Its description in RNAcentral is "partial contains 5.8S ribosomal RNA, internal transcribed spacer 2, and large subunit ribosomal RNA". The stretch from base 1 to 120 matches the Rfam family "5.8S ribosomal RNA", at positions 35 to 154 of the family's 154-position model. The record is from RNAcentral.